UUCCUCUUUCUCCCUUCAUACAUCAUCAAGAAGGAUUUGGUGGCAGUUACUGAAGUUGAUGAAUCUGACUGAAAUUUCUUUGCUGGGUUGUGUGUUACAGGGGUUGCUUGAGGAGAGUUUAAAGAGCACUGAACAAAUCUGGCCAACUUCAAGGUAUGUUCUUCUUGUGCAAUACCUAUUGACUCACUUAGGAUAUCUAACAACUUAUGGUUGGACCUGGAUACUUGGUAGCAGGAUCCAGAGUUUCACUGAUGCUUAACAGAGAAAGGAGUCUGGAAGAAACUGAAAACAUUUCCAUCAGUCUACUGGGAUCUGGAAUUGGUUUCCCUGCUCUGGAUAGGAGUCUUCCAGAAUGGUAAUCAAAUUAUGAAGAAUUACUUAUAACAUUAGAAGAAAACAGCAAAUUUUGACAAGGUAAUGUCAGCAUUUUAUUUUAAUGGGCAUCAUACAUAUUUCAGGAUUUAUUUAUUUCCUUGUUUAGUACUUAUUUUGAGCCCCUUGAAAAAAUGUUGUGCUUUCCCCUUGGCUACCCUGGUAUAAAAAUACAGUUUGUUCCUUUGCUGUACUAGAAGAUGAAAACAGGAUUUGGCCCAGGUAGUACUAGUGAAAUGUUUCUGACAAAAGGUAGCUAAUGACCUUAUAUUAAAAAACUAAAUUCCAAGAACUUCUGUAUAUCCAUGCAAUCAUACAUUUCUGGGCUUGUCUGCUGCAUGGUGGGGAAGAAAUUGUUGCCAGCUUCUCAAACUAAAGGAAAAAGUUGAGCAACUUGACUACUUAGUUAUACAAUCCACUUACAAAUCCUGUUUCAAAUGGACUUGGACACAAAUCCGAGCAUAGAAUCAUAGAAUCCAUAGAACCUUAAUAGUAUCCUAUUACUCAUAAAGCAAGAAGAAUUUCUAUUGCUCCUAGAGGCAAGGCUGCCAGCAAUUCUGCCGUAAUGCUCUGGAGAAUGCAAGAAUUUUUCAAUAUGCUCAUAGGAUUGCAAUUCAAAGACAAGAGGCAAUUGCUGUAUGCUCCCAAAUGGCUAUCAUUUGACUGAUACAUUUAGUUCAUUAAUUAGUUUCUGAUGGAAGACCUACUCAAAAAACUAAAUUCAAAAUGUAAGAAAGAACCGGUGCUUGUUUAAAACUAAUCAAGUUUUCAUAUUUUUCUUUUCAUACAGAGAGAGGAAUGGGACGGGAGCAUUCACUUGUUGAUUCGUCUGAUUGGUUCACUUUUUGAAACACUAAUGUGGACUUGGAACUGACCUUUCAUUUGAAAAAUGAGCAAUACCAGAAGUUAUGAAAUGCAAAGAAAAUAUACAACAAGAGGAGAAAACAGGGAGUCUUGGAACAGUAAUCUAAGGGAGUCGUUUUUCUGUCCUUGCUAACAGGAAUAGUACAAAGAUGGAAUUCACCAAGGAACAUAAAGGGAAAAAAAUCUCUUGGAAAUCUUUGCAUUAAAAUCUCAUCUACCACCAGCCCUUUUUUAUGGAAAUAAGUCAGCACUACUGGAAAAGAAAAUGCUAAACCUGUGCUCUUCGAUUCAUCUUCAUUUCUGCUGUUUACCUAAGAAAACAGCAACUCUGUCCGGUUUGGGAGAGAAAAAAAAAAUGUAUUUUUUUCCCCCAUUGAUUGUUCUUUUAAUGUUUUUUUAGUCAAUGUGGAAUUUUACCUAACUUGCAUCAUUUUUCAGGAGCUGAUUCAAAACAGAUUUCCUAAAAAGAAUAUGCAAUUACAGUGCUAAACUAAGUGCCAGAAAAUGGAAACAAUCCGUUUUGAGAACUCCAUUGUGUCUCCGGGAUUUAGAUGCAGUUGAAAAUGUCAUCAAUUUUUACAUGUAAGAAGGAAGAGACAAAAGAAACAAAGAUAAAGUGGGAAAAGUCUUUAGGGACAAUUCAGAACAAUAUGGAAGUAAUCAAAAGUCAGUCAACAGACCAAAUAAAUCUUCAUAGAAGGGAAGUACUGGCUAAAGU
Molecule: long non-coding RNA, 1954 nt
Organism: Numida meleagris (helmeted guineafowl)
Lineage: Eukaryota; Metazoa; Chordata; Aves; Galliformes; Numididae
Source: Ensembl